CAGCACCUCAAGUGGUCAGGAUGAUUAUUGGGCCUAAAGCAUCCGUAGCCGGCGCUGUAAGUUUUCGGUUAAAUCUGUACGCUCAACGUACAGGCUGCCGGGAAUACUGCAGCGCUAGGGAAUGGGAGAGGUAGACGGUACUCGGUAGGAAGGGGUAAAAUCCUUUGAUCUAUUGAUGACCACCUGUGGCGAAGGCGGUCUACCAGAACACGUCCGACGGUGAGGGAUGAAAGCUGGGGGAGCAAACCGGAUUAGAUACCCGAGUAGUCC
Molecule: ribosomal RNA, 270 nt
Filed under: uncultured archaeon
Lineage: Archaea
Description: partial 16S ribosomal RNA
Rfam family: Archaeal small subunit ribosomal RNA
Source: RNAcentral